Molecule: ribosomal RNA, 425 nt
Filed under: uncultured bacterium
Lineage: Bacteria
Description: partial 16S ribosomal RNA
Rfam family: Bacterial small subunit ribosomal RNA
Source: RNAcentral
GUGGGGAAUAUUGCACAAUGGGGGAAACCCUGAUGCAGCGACGCCGCGUGAGUGAAGAAGUAUCUCGGUAUGUAAAGCUCUAUCAGCAGGGAAGAAAAUGACGGUACCUGACUAAGAAGCCCCGGCUAACUACGUGCCAGCAGCCGCGGUAAUACGUAGGGGGCAAGCGGUAUCCUGAAUUACUGGGUGUAAAGGGUGCGUAGGUGGUAUGGCAAGUCAGAAGUGAAAACCCAGGGCUUAACUCUGGGACUGCUUUUGAAACUGUCAGACUGGAGUGCAGGAGAGGUAAGCGGAAUUCCUAGUGUAGCGGUGAAAUGCGUAGAUAUUAGGAGGAACAUCAGUGGCGAAGGCGGCUUACUGGACUGAAACUGACACUGAGGCACGAAAGCGUGGGGAGCAAACAGGAUUAGAUACCCGAGUAGUCC